UGUUCAGGGGUGCAGGUGAAGAAUGCUGCAGUAGAGGAGAGGAGGGUGGGGAUGAAGAAGGGCAAGGACCCUGCAGAGUAUCCGGAGAAUGGACUAGGUACUGAAGAAAGGAAGCAAAGAAGGAAAGAGAAAGGGAAUCACCAUGUGCUAGUUCAUGUGACCUUCCUUCCUUCCUUCCUUCCCUCAGCAACACUAAUCACGCACCAGUUAUGCACCAGCCCCCAAAUGUUUGUAGACUGAGAUUUUCUAUGUCUGAUUCAAUGCAAAGAUUGAAAGGCAGAACAACGUGGUGGAAAGCAUAGUGAUUUGAAAUGAGAAGAUCCAAUUCAUGUCCUAAUUGACUGGUUAUGUGAAUUCAGUUCCAGAGCAGCAACUUACUGUGACCUUGAUGACAGUAAGCAAACUUUUCAGAUGUAUUACUCUAAUGUUUGUGACGCCGUUCAAGAACACAUAUAUUCAUUCAUUCAUCAACUGUGGAUGCCCAAUAGUGUGACUGUCAUCACCGAACAGCUGGUCAGACCUGGGCAGGAGCAGGUCACAUCUUCACAUUUAGCAGCUCCCUUAAAAUCGCUGGACCUGAGCCUCCCUGGUGGCGCAGUGGGUUCAGCGCAGCGUUGUGAAGCUGUCUGCAGCCUCCGCAGCACCAGUUCGAUUCCUGGCAGGCCAGGGAGAAUCCCACAUGGCACGGCAGACCUCUCUUGUCUCACCCGCUGCUCCCCUCAGCAAUGCCUUCGAUCUGUCUGCCUGUUCUGCUCCCUGCUCUGUCUCUAGUGAAUCCUCUCACCCUCCCACGACUCUGGCCUGUAC
This is a long non-coding RNA of Talpa occidentalis (Iberian mole), 807 nucleotides long. RefSeq lists it as uncharacterized. The record is from RefSeq and is a predicted model, not a curated record. The transcript is spliced from 5 exons. Lineage: Eukaryota; Metazoa; Chordata; Mammalia; Eulipotyphla; Talpidae.